Molecule: transfer RNA, 75 nt
Filed under: Lepidozia setigera
Lineage: Eukaryota; Viridiplantae; Streptophyta; Jungermanniopsida; Jungermanniales; Lepidoziaceae
Also listed under: 6 other names
Description: partial tRNA-Phe
Rfam family: tRNA (bases 1-67)
About the family: Transfer RNA (tRNA) molecules are approximately 80 nucleotides in length. Their secondary structure includes four short double-helical elements and three loops (D, anti-codon, and T loops).
Source: RNAcentral
GCCGGAAUAGCUCAGUUGGUAGAGCAGAGGACUGAAAAUCCUCGUGUCACCAGUUCAAAUACUGGCCGUCGUUUU